Molecule: long non-coding RNA, 1450 nt
Organism: Fukomys damarensis (Damara mole-rat)
Lineage: Eukaryota; Metazoa; Chordata; Mammalia; Rodentia; Bathyergidae
Source: Ensembl
AGAUCAAAUUUAUUGACUCAACCUGGGUUCCUUUUCUCUAUUUUCAGAUUUGAAUUGUAUAACUAUGCAUGUGCUCUUGUCAAAAAGGAAGACCAUGUCAGUGUGCAAAAUGGAAGGAAAGUCCAUUCUGUUACUGGACAACAAAUAUCAUGCACUUGCCUGAGGAAAAUCCACACCUUAAUUAUUUUGAGAAAUCCCCAAGGACGCUGACCUUAUCUGCAAAUCAGUACUGGCAUUCCUUGCUACCGCUAGGGAUGAAAAUCCACCACAGCUAACAUUAUGAAACAUGAUUGCUGUACCCAGCCCUGGAGACUGGAUUGCUGAAGUGUCGCUUUUGUGAGCCGAGAGGCAAGUAGUUCCCUCUGCUGUGUUCAGUGGGGGAGAUGCUUCGAUAUAACUGCUUGCUCAUGAACGCCUACAGAAUACAGCGAGGCAGCCCAUUGUAUCUGCAGAGUCCACAUGUGUCUUCAGGAUGGCUGGAUUAGCAUGGCCUGUGCUAUUCUUUCUCUUGCUUUAGCCAAGUGGAGUCCCUCAAUGGACUAUCAUCUACCCCAGUGAUGGAGAACUUUUUAGAGCUUCCAACCAUAGCAGCUGCCUUUGGCACACACACCAUAGAUUAAACACCACUGAUCUACACUUUUCCUUCCCUUUUUGGAAAUCGUAGAUUGAAGGCUGGCUUCUCAUUUUCUUUCCAGAAAUCUUUUCUGCCGCACUUGUCCACCUGACAUAGGUAAAUAUGACAGAAGUGCAGUAGAGGACAGGGAUUGUGUUUCUGUUCCCCAUCAGUGGAAUGCCUGAGUUCCUUUGAAAGUUACUUGUUACAAAUGAGGAAAUAGAGCCUAUACAACUCCACCAGCAUAGGACUAUGGUAAGCCAUCAUGGUAAGCCUUGACAUAGGCCUAGCCAUGGUUGAACUUUGAGUCACCCCGCCGGCACAGACGUGCUGUAGCCCAUGACAACGGGCUGGUUCAACUGGUGGUCUGACCUGUUGCCUAGCGAAUGUAGCCCAUAAUACUUGUAGAACCUUGUGACCUUUCCAGUCUGCUACACCCUGUUUGUACUUUACCUUGUGACCUUUCCAGUCUGCUACACCCUGUUUGUACUUUUGGUUUCGGUUUUAGCCUAUAUAUACCCCACCCUGAAAAAUAAACGGGGCCUUGCUGCGGUAGAGCAUGAGCCUGGAACUAAGUUCGUGAAACUGCUCUCCUGUUGUUCUUCCCUCGGGUUUGGGACCUGCUGGCAGGAUUCUGACGUUGCGGCUCGCGACAUAGGACUACUGUAAUUUACCCACCUGAGACACUUGGUUAUAUCCAUUUAUAUCAGGCUCAUGAUGUUUGAAGGGAUUCUAGCAUCCUUUUAAAAAUAAAAAUGAAAGAUUACUUAAAUGUUCCGAAGAUAUUCAGCAAAAUAGAAAAACGAGACAAAAAUAGACUUGACUGACAUCACGGCG